This 2437-nucleotide long non-coding RNA is filed under the name Brassica napus (rape). RNAcentral's name for it is "long non-coding RNA (BNAP_LNC013305)". Lineage: Eukaryota; Viridiplantae; Streptophyta; Magnoliopsida; Brassicales; Brassicaceae. The record is from RNAcentral.
AUAAAGAAGAUCCAACAAAACACUGCGUUCUGUUUUCACGUUUUGGUUAUUCUGAAAAAUGGGCGUGAUUACUCCUAUUGAGACUCUGUUAUUAAAGUCUCAACAUCGUCUUCUUCAACCUCUAGAUCAUUCCUACCCCGUGGUUUUUCACAACCAUCGAAGAGUAACAAAUUUCCAGCGCAACAGCUUUUCACCUUUUUGUCUAGGUUUUUUCUUUCUCCUUUGUUUAAACAUUAUUUAAAAUCUUUUUUUUUUAAUGAAAAGUGGUCAUUUUUAGAUGUGUAUAAGUCUUCAGUUCUUGUUUUUGAUGAGAUUAAUUCUUGUGCAGGAUCAUCAUCUGUAGAUUUUCCAUUACGCAGUGGUCCGAUUACGCAAAGUAAGUACAUAUAUUAUAGGAAGAAUUCUGUAUUUGUUUUCUUUUGGAGUGAAGCAAUUUAAUUUUUGAAUGUGUUUAAUUUUGGUUUUUGCCUUGUUCUACAAUCCAAAGAUGAUAGGUCGAGUUAUCCUUGGCGGAGAAAUGUCUCAGAAUCUGACACAAAUGAGGUAAAGUACAAUCAGCAAGAUCCUGGUCUUUUUUGCUUCCUUGGCAAGUAAUAGUUGUGUUUGGUUUCAGAUCUAUAAUAAGCAAGUUUCUAUAAUGGAAACAUUAAAGCAAGCCAACUCUUUUAUUCCUCAUGUGAUUCUCUCAAGUACAAUUUUAGCUCUUCUCCAUCCACCUUCUUUCACAUGGUUCAAGCCAAGGUUCGAAUGAUCAACCUUAAUUAAUUACAACUUUAUUAGCCAUUAUAAUCUCUAAUUACUAUUUAUAUCCUUCGUUAGGUACUUUGUGCCUGGCCUAGGGUUCAUGAUGUUUGCUGUUGGAAUCAACUCUAAUGAACGAGACUUCCUUGAAGCUCUUAAAAGACCAGACGCUAUUUUCGCUGGUUACAUCGGACAGUACUUGAUAAAACCUCUUUUAGGUUACAUGUUCGGUGUAAUCGCUGUCUCUCUUUUCAAUCUACCGACUCCUAUAGGGGCUGGAAUCAUGUUGGUCUCAUGUGUUAGUGGAGCUCAGCUAUCGAACUACACAACUUUCUUGACAGAUCCUUCGCUCGCGCCGCUUAGUAUUGUCAUGACAUCGAUCUCAACCGCUACAGCCGCCCUGGUGACACCCAUGCUUUCUCUCUUACUCAUUGGUAAAAAGCUUCCCGUUGACGUUAUUGGGAUGAUCUCUAGCAUUCUCCAAGUUGUUGUUACACCCAGAGCCGGUCCUAGUUAUUAUAUGGCUAGAAGCCAAUUUAAAAAAUGUGGCUGAAGUCCCUCGAACCCGCAACCUGUAACAGGUUACAACAACCACCCAACCGCUGGGCUACUAAGAACUUUCUGUUCAAAUGUGGCCGUUUAGGAUGAUAAUAUUUGGUGGCUGGAAGCACAAGCUUCAUUGGCUUCCCUCCAAGACCGGCUCUGGUUACACCUAUUGCCGCAGGACUACUUCUAAACCGGUAAGUACAUUACAUAUGGGUCGGAUCAAUACAUAGCCUCAGUGAUUUUUGUAAAACCAAAAGUCAUAUUGAUGAAUUUAGAUAAGAUCAGUUUAUCCUGAUUAAAUACACUCAACGUACUUAAUGGCUAUUGAAAAACUAAAGUUACAUGAGAAGUGUGACCGCAGGUUAUUGCCAAGGUUGUCUAAUGCAAUCAAACCAUUUCUCCCGGGGUUAACGCUAAUCGAUAUGGCUUGUUGCAUCGGAGCACCCCUCGCUUUGAACAUAGAUUCAAUCUUGUCUCCGUUCGGCGCAACCAUUUUAUUCCUAUAAUGUUUAUAAGCACCAAAAUAAAUUAAACUAUUUUGCAUUUGCAAUAUGUAACACAACAUCAUACUUUUUUUCAUGUCAAUAUAAAAUAUAUCUCUAACAAAAAAUAAUCUGCGCAAGUGCGCGGGUAAUAACUCUAGUUUGUUUUAAAACUCUGUCGCUUGCGUGAAGAAGGGCGAUACUGCUGUGUCGACUAAUCCUAUGAAAUUUUUUCUUGAUGUGUUGUUAGCUCAAAAAUGAAAAUUGUCCAAUCAAAACCAAAAUUUGAAAGAAAAUAGGUAAAUACGACCACUGCUUUUGAGACUAUAGGUUGGUGUGGCAUUCGCACGUGCGUAUCAUCAAGAUAUAAAUAAGUUACACGCCUAGAGUAUAAUGAAACGUGUGUUGUUAUAUAGGUUGGUAAUUUGGUACUUGGUGCUUAUAACGCUAAAUGUAACAUAUAUAAAGAAGAUCCAACAAAACACUGCGUUCUGUUUUCACGUUUUGGUUAUUCUGAAAAAUGGGCGUGAUUACUCCUAUUGAGACUCUGUUAUUAAAGUCUCAACAUCGUCUUCUUCAACCUCUAGAUCAUUCCUACCCCGUGGUUUUUCACAACCAUCGAAGAGUAACAAAUUUCCAGCGCAACAGCUUUUCACCUUUUUGUCUAG